Molecule: long non-coding RNA, 2241 nt
Organism: Amphiprion ocellaris (clown anemonefish)
Lineage: Eukaryota; Metazoa; Chordata; Actinopteri; Pomacentridae
Exons: 3
Source: RefSeq, a predicted model, not a curated record
AGCCUACAUGAUAUCACCCAUAAACUUUUAGAACAGCAGCUUUGCACCUGUCUUCUUACUUUCAGUACGUACUACAGCUGAUCUUGCAAAGUUUACACUGACGUUUAAAUGGGUCGAACUGCUUUGUCAUUAUAUUGUGCCUUAAAAUUUACUGCAAAAUGUUAUGUGUCGAAUGUGACCUACAUUACUGUUAAAAAGUUUGGGGUCACCCAGACAAUUUCAUGUGUUCCAUAUACUUUACAUUGACAUUAACAAUGUCUCGACUGGAUUCAUGAUCAACUUAAUGCUACCUUCAUUGAAAAAAAUGCUUUUCUUUCAAAAAUACAGACAUUUCUAAGUGACCCCAAACUUCUGAAUGGUAGUGUAUAUGAAUUAAAGUUGCUCUAUAUUAAAUAAGUUGUUCCAUAUCAUUUAAAGUGUCAUGGACAGCGUGUGACCUACCCCAUUCCUGGUUGGCUCAUCGGCGUUUGCUCCUCCCUCUCUGCUUGGCAGCUGUGGCAACCCACACCUGUGGCUGAUCACAAUCACCUUGGGCUUAAAAGGAAGCGCCACACAUCGUGCACUGUGGGAUUAUACUGGUUGUGCAGUGGGAGUACCGCAGGUUCUGAGAAGACCUCCAGAUAGAGGUCCUGGACCCCGACCUAAGUCCAGAGUCAGCUCUGGCCUCCAGACAGAGGAUGUGCCUCCCCCUCUUCGCUCUUAAACAGGAGGUGGCAGUGCUGGCGGUUGGCGAUGUGAUUCCAGCGUCUUGUAAUUGGACAACAUAGUGGAGCUGUGAUGCAAAUGUCACCCUGAGGCCCAAUGGCAGAGUUCAGCAGCACGGUCAAUCUGGGUCGGAGCCAACCAUGUUCCAGACUGGUCCAGUGUGCCAGUCCAUCACCAACAAGGAGACAAACUGAAACACCCACAUGUCUGUGGGAUGUCUGGACCCAGAGGGGACCACCGAUUCCUGGAGGGCCUCUAAGAGGAGAUAAGUGGGUGGUGGUGAUAUCAAAGCACAACAAAAAUGCAGUUUUGGGGGGAUUUCUGUGUUUGCAGUUCAAAUUCUAACAAAAAUGCACUAGAAUUGAAGGAAGUUCUCUUUGCAUCAGUAUGAAAACACACCAUUAUGCAUUGGAAAGUCCUGGAGCUGUAAAGGAAGCCACAAUCAAAGCAUCGAGUUGUUUGAUUCUUUCUAACUUUGGCCUGAACAUUAGGGUGAAGCCCUGUCGUCUCCUCCUGCGUCAUCCAGCCAUGUUUGCUGAGGUUCCCAUCUGAGAUGAGGAGACUUUUCUCUUCCUGACGUUCUUCCCCCGCAUAGACAUUUCUGUCGCCAGGUUAAUUUCCCACUACAAGACGGACGACAAACACACACAACCUCCAGCAACCCUCCUGAAAGUGGAGAAGGGUGUGCACCUUCCGGAGAUGAAAGGAGAGACGAGAGAGGGAUGCUGGGACCUCGAAGGUCAGACAGAAAUCACCAGAACCCUCUUCCAUCUAAAGAGGACUUUGUUGCAAUAUUCAGCGAUGAGUAAAGAUGAGAUGCUGUCAUCCUCCUUGAAAAGAUACAGCAUAUUUACCCAUUUAUCAGAAGCACACACACGGUUUAGCGUACACAGAUUGUACAAGUAUGUGCGUCUGACAGAUAACAAUAUCAGCUCUUGUCUGGGGCUUGUAUAUUGCACCUGAUGUUCUUUGUCAUCUAGUCAAAGAAAAAUAUCGGUUGUGUGCUUUACCCACUCUGCUAGUGUAAUAGAAUUUCCAAGAUAAUAGCAUUUGUGGGAAAAUGGAGACCUUAUCUUCCUUUCCAAACUCAAAUGAAUGAACGUGGCAGGGAUGAUGUCAUCGCUAAUGUGAUAAGCCAAAACAGUUGUCUUAAUACUGCGAAACCUGUGACGGCAUACGGUGACUCAGACCGAGUGAAACCGAAAGAAGUCACGAUUGUAGAGAAAGUAAAAACACAUGUUGUUCUCGUUCUCUGGUUAGUGUAACUGUGUUCUACAGUGUGCAUUGCAGAAUAUGUGCAUUCUGUUGACUUGUACUUUAACCUGUGUGAAUUAUUGAUGAUUACCAGAACUAUUUUCUGUGAUGUGCUGAGUUCAAACCACACAGGAUUCAGUAUUGUGUGGUCAGAUCAUAAUCCACAUGAACACACUUUCUGGUAAACAAUUCAUAAAACAUUUUGUCACUCACCUGGAAGAGAUAUUUAUGUACACAUAACACAAACACACACAAAUAUAUAUACAUACAUACAUAGAGGCA